GCUGAGGUCCUCUUCUAGGAUUGGCUGUCCACUCAUAACUAUAAGAUAAUUAAAACGGGGGGGGCAGGGUUAAAAAAACUUUUUAUCAGCCAUAGGUUAAUUCAAGUGUUUAAUAGAUGCUUCACUAUUAAACCUCCCCCCCCCCCAAUAUUGAAGAAUCUCAAACCAGCAACCCCAAGACAGACUUUGGAGGUUUUCAAAGUGGGGCACCUCGAUUUCUUGAAUCUGUGGUGUGGCGAGUACCCGUGUUCCGCUGGUUUAACUAGCCUGUUUGCACCAUUAUCGGCUAAGGUACAAGCCUUAAGGGGGCUGAAGCUUCGUGUAUCUUAGAAGCCCGAAUGCAGAGACAAGAGCAUCAGAAAGGCAAUCUGGAGGUAGCUGGAGAGAGGGGACAAAUGGGUUCUAUGCAUCUUGUGUUAUUCAAGUCAAGAUGAUGUCAGUAAUCAAAUUACAGAAUCUAAUCAAGCAGGUCAGAUCCUAUUUAUUCCAAAGACAGAGUUGGAGACCAGCCAUCGUUAGUGUUGCCUGAGACGCCAAGCAAUCCCCUGAGUCCUUACAGUCGAUUUCCUUCUUUUAUUCUAUUUUGGAUCUAUGUUCCCAUGGUGCACUGAUCUGGUCGGAGAGAGCGCUUGCUGCCGAGGUUGCUGGUCCCUGGAGCCUACAUGACGCAAAGAAAACUGAUUCCAGAAAGGUUGUCCUCAGAUGGUCGCAUGUUCGCUGUGGCAUUCGCUGCAGGCACCUAUCCAGCCGAGCACACA
Long non-coding RNA from Microtus ochrogaster (prairie vole), 758 nucleotides. RefSeq lists it as uncharacterized. The record is from RefSeq and is a predicted model, not a curated record. The transcript has 6 exons. Lineage: Eukaryota; Metazoa; Chordata; Mammalia; Rodentia; Cricetidae.